RNAcentral lists this long non-coding RNA (1614 nucleotides) under Bemisia tabaci. Its description in RNAcentral is "lncRNA ENSSSA1NGG002536". Lineage: Eukaryota; Metazoa; Arthropoda; Insecta; Hemiptera; Aleyrodidae. The record is from RNAcentral.
CUGUGAAUUUUUCCUUCAUUUCAACAGAUUCGGAUUCUGCCUGAAAUCCUGAUGAAAAAUAUAUAUAAUUGUAGGUAAGUAUUAUGGUAAGUUAUUAAAUCACAGAACUCGCGAAUUUCUUCAGAGCUGCUAUGAUUCUAUGAUUCAAGUUCUAUGAUUUAAUAACUUACCAUAAUACUUACCUACAAUUAUAUAUAUUUUUCAUCAGGAUUUCAAGCAGAAUCCGAAUCUGUUGAAAUGAAAGAAAAAUUCACAGAUGAUAAAAAAAUUGGUGUGCAAUUUCGGUCCACCAGUAGACAGAGGGCCUUAAUGACCAGGGUCCGGCCGCCAGGUAAAGGUCCGGGGUGGACACAAUGGGAACAACACCCCGGUGAGCUAGGCGCUGAACCAGCGGGUCCUCGCCGGGAUCCGACGUUGCAAUUCUCGGCUCGCCCGAAAGUGCCCGAACUUUUACUCUUUCUAAUUGGUUUGCACAGACUGUACCCUUCGCAUUGCUCUCGCCCGUGGUAAAUCCCACGAGUUCGCGGAAUCGACACACCCUUGCGAGUCCCUCCAUGAAAGAAAGGACGGUCCCUCGUUGAGUGCCGAUUAGUUUCACUUUUCGAGCAUCGAUCAGUGAUCAGUUUUCGAUCAGUCCCUCGUUACCACUCGUGUGCUCAGGUCGAGCGGUUUAUUUCAAUCAUGGACGGACGACGAAAACGAAGCUUCAUCAAGGAAGUAAAGAAGUACCCCAUUUUGUGGAGGACGACCUCGGAGGCCCCCCCGCUACAGAAAGAGUUAAAAUGGCUUAAAGUGGCUAAUCGCUUUGCGAUGACGGUGGAAGAGGUCCAAAUGGAAUGGAGACGGUUACUACAGUCCAGGAGGGCGGCUCAUUGGCGGCGUACGAAUACGCCUCAAGAAAAAAAAUGGAAAUAUGAAGACGAUAUGUCGUUUCUAGAAAAGGGCAUAAGCAGGAACAAGACCUUAGAACCAAUCGUGCCGCUCAUGAGAUUGGUAAACAAUGAGGACACCGGUGCCGGUACCAGAGGUAAGAACUGGGCCGUUACCAGCGGUUACAAUAGUGCCAGUACCAGCGGUGACAAUAGUGCCAGUACCAGCGGUGGCAAUAGUGCCAGUACCAGCGGUGACAAUAGUGCCAGUACCAGCGGUGACAAUAGUGCCAGUACCAGCGGUGGCAAUAGUGCCAGUACCAGCGGUGACAAUAGUGCCAGUACCAGCGGUGACAAUAGUGCCAGUACCAGCGGUGGCAAUAGUGCCAGUACCAGCGGUGACAAUAGUGCCAGUACCAGCGGUGGCAAUAGUGCCAGUACCAGCGGUGACAAUAGUGCCAGUACCAGCGGUGACACUAGUGCCAGUACCAGCGGUGAAAUCGGUGUCGGUAGUUGGGGCUCCAUCGUCGUAAAAAAAGAAAAGGAUGUAGACGCAAUCAUCAUCAUUGAUGAUGAUUUUGAUGAUGUGGAGGCCGAAAUGAUGAACAUCAUCAAUAAAAAGCUGAAUCUUCUUCGCGCGGUAAGGGAUUCGCUAAAAACCACUAAAGAACAGUUGGACUUCGUGCGAGGAUUGGAUCCCAUGUUGAGUGAUGCGAUUUGUCAGUACUUCCGCAAAUUUUGUUGA